ACCCUCUCAGGGUCGCAACUGGAGAGUUUCCAGUACACUACCAGUCUCGGCUACAGGAGAGAGAGUCAGGCAGAGGCCUGACCAUUCCAUUCCUAGAUUGGCCAGUGGCUAGCGAGUGGAAGGCCAUCUGCUGCAAGU
Molecule: small nucleolar RNA, 138 nt
Filed under: Ornithorhynchus anatinus (platypus)
Lineage: Eukaryota; Metazoa; Chordata; Mammalia; Monotremata; Ornithorhynchidae
Source: RNAcentral